RNA transcript from Xenia sp. Carnegie-2017, 2057 nucleotides. RefSeq lists it as uncharacterized. The transcript is spliced from 6 exons. Lineage: Eukaryota; Metazoa; Cnidaria; Anthozoa; Malacalcyonacea; Xeniidae. The record is from RefSeq and is a predicted model, not a curated record.
AUUCCAGUGCCACAUCUUCCUCUAUGCACAUGUUUCUCUUGCUGGAAACUCUUUAAGAUGAAAUUUCUUUACUCAAGAAUUUUAAAAUGAAACAAAUGAACUAAAGACUGCUGAAUCUUAUGGCAAAGACAGUGAAUAUUCUGAAGAUGUCAUCGUAUUCAUUGGAAAAGACGACUUACAAAAAUUUCGGCAAAAUUGUGCAAAGCAUUUUCAUCAAAAGUUAAUCAUGUCCGCCGACGACGACGUUGAUAACGUUGAUCAACAAGAAUUAGACAGUGUUUUAUGUACUGAACAAGUUACAACCGAUUGUUGAAAUUCAUAUUCCAUUGGGAUCCUACAGUGGCAGUACGGCCUCACGAACGAACGAUUUGUCUCUGAAUCGAGACAGUAAAUAUCAAUAUGCUGUCCUGUUGAAGUGCUAAAAAUCCUACGGAGGCAAUGGUUACCCCAAAGGAUUGGGGAAAAUUGAAAAAACAACACAGUUGAGAGAACGUUGCUAAAUCGAUCAGCGUACAAGAGGAAUCAAAUCAAGUUGAUGAUACCAAUUCACUCCAGGAAACAAAUCAUAUUUAUGGUGCCAAUUUACUCCAGGAAACAAAUCAUAUUUAUGGUGCCAAUUUACUCCAUGAAACAAAUCAUAUUGAUGAUGCCAAUUUACUCCAUGAAACAAAUCAUAUUGAUGAUGCCAAUUUACUCCAGGAAACAAAUCAUAUUGAUGAUGCCAAUUUACUCCAUGAAACAAAUCAUAUUGAUGAUGCCAAUUUACUCCAGGAAACAAAUCCUAUUGAUGAUGCCAAUUUACUCCAGGAAACAAAUGGACUUGAAUUAAUGGACCUUGAGGUCAGCAGUCUCUUUGAGGUCAGCAGGCAGAAUAUGGACUGUCAUGUUGAUUCUAUGUCGGUUCCUCCAGAACUUUGAUGACUGUAAUUUGUUAUGGCAUGUCAAAAAACAAUUUGUCUUUUUACAACCAUUGAAAUUGUUACAAUGAUCAUAAAUAUUACAUCCAUAUGCAAUUGUUUAGCAAACUCAAUAAUUGAGGGAGAACUUAUUCAUACAUGCAUGUUCUGCAGGAUUAAAUUCUUUUUGAAAUCCAUUCUUUUCUAUAGAUUAAUACAUGCAUUCAUAAAUUUGAACCCUCCCCCCUUCCUCAUCAACGAGUUUGCUACGCUCCUGUUAUGGAAUAGACAGAGUAAAUUAGGACAUAAAUAGAAAAUUUUUAUCAUUAGUCCAUAGUAAAAUGUAGACUUACUCAAGUAAGUUAAUUAAGGUUCAAAUAUCGUCACGUCCAGUAUAAUGCCAAUGUCAUUAAUAAGAAAGUACAUACAGGUUAGAGAUAUUAUGGGGAAAAAGAACUUGAUAUUUUUUGUAUUCAAUAAUUUCUAGUCAAAUAAGGAGAGGCACCCUAUCUGUUAUAACCAAAUAAGUUUUUUGUUGUCAAUAAGUUAUUGGAAUUGUCAAGGUUAGCCGAGAAGUUCAUUAAGUAUUCAAAAAGUAACAAAUUCAAUAACCAUUGGGAAUAAUCAAGCAUAGUAACUGUACAUUAACUUUAUUCGUAAGUAUGCUUAACUUUUGGUCAAUCGGCAAUGUUUAAAUUGGUUAUAUUCAACGAAAUUUUUUGUCCCUCGUUUUGUUUCUAAGCACAGUAGAUCGGGGAUUCAUCGUAUAUAUUAAUCACAUUCUGCUUCUCCUAGCCUUGAUAACUUUCUUAUGUAAUCAACACCUUGGUCAUUUGGGCUUUUAAUUCAUGGAAAAAGUGUUUUUGAAAAAAAAUUUUCUAAGAUGUUGCUAUUUCAUACAGCAAGUAACAUAAUGACUUUAAAGUUAUUAAUAAAAUGGCCAUUUUCAGCCGUCUAGAGAUCUGAAUUUUCAAAGUUUUCUCAUGAUUUUGCCUCCUCUGCUCAUUUGCUCAUCUAAUCAUCUAGAGCAUAUAUUUCUUGAACUAAGAAUUCCCUUUGGAAAAGGAAAAUAUCAUGUAUCACAACUUCGUAGAGCAUUGUAAACCUUCGUAAGGGCCUGACGGGAUGUUAAAGUAAAAUAACACGUGACAUCAUCAUUGA